AGAGCAUACGGCGGAUGCCUUGGCGAUAUCUGCCGACGAAGGACGCGACAAGCUGCGAUAAGUCACGGGGAGGUGCAAAUGACCGUUGAUCCGUGAAUUUCCGAAUGGAGCAAUCCGGCUGUGGUCAUGCACAGUCACCCAUGCCUUUGAGUAUGGGAGGGAACCGGGCGAACUGAAACAUCUAAGUAGCCCGAGGAGAAGAAAUCAAACGAGAUACCCCAAGUAGCGGCGAGCGAACGGGGCAGAAGCCCAAACCGGAGAAGGAAACUUUUCCGGGGUUGAGGACCGUCAGACGAUAAGGAAGCCCAGCCGAAUCCCCUGGGAAGGGGAGCCGGAGAAUGUGAAAGCCAUGUAGGCGAAGGGCGGAUAAGGACAGACGGCACCAGAGUACCGCGGGACACGAGAAACCCCGUGGGAAGCCGGGGGGACCACCCUCCAAGGCAAAACACAGAUAUCGACCGAUAGCGCAUAGUACCAUGAGGGAAAGGUGAAAAGCACCCCGGGAGGGGAAUGAAAGAGAACCUGAAACCGUAUGUUUACAAGCAGUCGGAGACCGUAUAUAUACCAGGUCGACGGCGUGCCUAUUGAAGAAUGAACCGGCGAGUUAUGAGGUCCAGCAAGGUUAAGCAGGAAAUGCGGAGCCGAAGCGAAAGCGAGUCUUAAUAGGGCGAAAAGUUGGAUUGCAUAGACCCGAAACCACAGUGAUCUACCCAUGUCCAGGCUGAAACACAGGUAAAAAUGUGCGGAGGGCCGAACCUAUAUCCGUUGAAAAGGGUUAGGAUGAGGUGUGGGUAGGGGUGAAAUUCCAAUCGAACGUGGAGAUAGCUGGUUCUCCCCGAAAUAGCUUUAGGGCUAGCCUCGAGGUAGAGAUUGCAGGCGGUAGAGCACUGAUCAGGAGAGGGACCUACCCGGUUACCAAACCCAGUCAAACUGCGAAUGGCUGCAAUUAUACUCGGGAGUCAGACUACGACUUAUAAGGGCCGUGGUCAAAAGGGAAACAGCCCAGAUCAUCAGCUAAGGUCCCAAAUGCCGUGCUAAGUGGCGAAGGAUGUGGCGUUUCAUAAACAACCAGGAUGUUGGCUCAGAAGCAGCCACCAUUUAAAGAGUGCGUAAUAGCUCACUGGUCGAGAGACGCUGCGCCGAAAAUGUCCGGGGCUCAAGCACGGAACCGAAGCUAUGGCAUGACAGCAAUGUCAUGGGUAGGGGAGCGUUCUUAUAAGGAAGAAGCAUUACCGUAAGGAGAUGUGGACAUAUAAGAAGUGAGAAUGCCGGUAUGAGUAUCGAAAAGAAAGGUGAGAAUCCUUUCCACCGAAAGCCCGAGGGUUCCUGAGCAACGAUCGUCGACUCAGGGUAAGUCGGGACCUAAGCCGAGGCGGAGACGCAUAGGCGAUGGACAACAGGUUGAAAUUCCUGUACCGGAUGGAGUCAUUUGAGCGAAGGAGCGACGCAGGAGGGCACAUGAUCGCGCGGCUGGAAGAGCGCGUCCAAGUGCGUAUGCGUAGAGGGAGGCAAAUCCCCCUUUACAGAAGCAGAGACAUGAUGGGGAGUUAAAGGAGACUUUGACGAACUCAUGGAUCCCACACUGCCAAGAAAAACUUCUAGCGAGACGAAAUCCGCCCGUACCGUAAACCGACACAGGUAGGCGGGGAGAGAAUCCUAAGGUGCGCGGGAAAACCCUCGUUAAGGAACUCGGCAAAUUGCAUCCGUAACUUCGGGAGAAGGAUGACCCUGAGUAGGCGAAAGGGAGAAACCCCCGGAACAGAAAAGGGUGGCAGAAAAGAGGCCCAAGCAACUGUUUACCAAAAACACAGGUGCCUGCGAAAGCGAAAGCUGAAGUAUAGGUGCUGACGCCUGCCCGGUGCUGGAAGGUUAAGGAGAGAGGUCAGCGAAAGCGAAGCUUUGAACUGAAGCCCCAGUGAACGGCGGCCGUAACUAUAACGGUCCUAAGGUAGCGAAAUUCCUUGUCGGGUAAGUUCCGACCCGCAUGAAAGGCGUAAUGAUUUGGGCACUGUCUCAACGAGGGGCCCGGUGAAAUUGAAAUACCUGUGAAGAUGCAGGUUACCCGCGACUGGACAGAAAGACCCCAUGGAGCUUCACUGCAGCUUGAGAUUGAAUCCCGGUGACAUAUGCACAGGAUAGGUGGGAGGCUAAGAAGUAAUGCCUUUGGGUGUUACAGAGCCGAUGUUGGGAUACCACCCUUAUGUUGCUGAGAUUCUAACACGGAGACUAACAACCUCGUGGACCAUCUCAGGCAGGCGGUUUGACUGGGGCGGUCGCCUCCUAAAAUGUAACGGAGGCGCCCAAAGGUUCCCUCAGGCCGGA
RNAcentral lists this ribosomal RNA (2322 nucleotides) under human gut metagenome. RNAcentral describes it as "bacterial LSU rRNA". It matches the Rfam family "Bacterial large subunit ribosomal RNA", at positions 14 to 2331 of the family's 2925-position model. The record is from RNAcentral.